RNAcentral lists this ribosomal RNA (253 nucleotides) under uncultured bacterium. RNAcentral's name for it is "partial 16S ribosomal RNA". It matches the Rfam family "Bacterial small subunit ribosomal RNA", at positions 524 to 776 of the family's 1533-position model. The record is from RNAcentral.
UACAGAGGUCCCAAGCGUUGUUCGGAUUCACUGGGCGUAAAGGGUGCGUAGGCGGUUAGGUAAGUCUGAUGUGAAAUCUCUGGGCUCAACCCAGAAACUGCAUUGGAUACUAUCUAGCUAGAGUGCGGUAGAGGGUAGUGGAAUUCCCGGUGUAGCAGUGAAAUGCGUAGAGAUCGGGAGGAACACCAGUGGCGAAGGCGGCUACCUGGACCAGCACUGACACUGAGGCACGAAAGCGUGGGGAGCAAACAGG